GGCGUAGCUCAAUGGCAGAGCACCUGUUUUGUAAACAGGUGGUUGUGGGUUCAACUCCCACCGCU
Molecule: transfer RNA, 65 nt
Filed under: zebrafish metagenome
Rfam family: tRNA
About the family: Transfer RNA (tRNA) molecules are approximately 80 nucleotides in length. Their secondary structure includes four short double-helical elements and three loops (D, anti-codon, and T loops). Further hydrogen bonds mediate the characteristic L-shaped molecular structure. tRNAs have two regions of fundamental functional importance: the anti-codon, which is responsible for specific mRNA codon recognition, and the 3' end, to which the tRNAs corresponding amino acid is attached (by aminoacyl-tRNA synthetases). tRNAs cope with the degeneracy of the genetic code in two manners: having more than one tRNA (with a specific anti-codon) for a particular amino acid; and 'wobble' base-pairing, i.e. permitting non-standard base-pairing at the 3rd anti-codon position.
Source: RNAcentral